Long non-coding RNA from Zonotrichia albicollis (white-throated sparrow), 934 nucleotides. The record is from Ensembl. Lineage: Eukaryota; Metazoa; Chordata; Aves; Passeriformes; Passerellidae.
GAAAAUACUAAUUCUUCCAGAUGCAGUGUUGAAUGUAAAUGCAUUCAUUAGAGAUGGACAGCCCACAUUGGCCCUCAGCCUCAGGGAGCCAGGCUUUCAGAAGGGGCCCCAGCACAGGGCUCUCCCCUUGAUACCACUUUAUCAAAGGUCCUGUUUUCUAACUGCUUGAUCAACCUCUUUGCCUUUCUCUGGAUUCCUUCAACUAGUACAUAAAAAUCUGUAACUGCUGUGGGUAAAACAGGGCAUGCCAGCCCAGCUCAGGCUGUCUCCCUCUGAGGAUGGAAGAGCACUUGCUAAGGAUGCUGAAGAACCCCAACUAGGAAAAAAGGAGAGACUGGGAAGGGAGCCAUUUCUGGAAAAGUAUAUACCAGGCUUGAGCCUUAAAGAAAAUUGACUGCUUGAUCUUUGUGGAGGCUGAACUUGCUCUGUGCUGCCUUUUUGGACUGUGUGGAUCUUGGAUGUUGUGUGGAAGACAGCAAACUUUUCCUCUGCUCUUACUGAGCAUCCAAGCAGCGCUGCCUUGAAUGCUGCCAGUGAGGAGACACAGGGACUGCAAAGAAGUUCCUGGUGCCAGAGAAGGGAACAGAUCUGGUUCAGUGUGGUGGUUUGACCCUGGCUGAACACCAGGUGCUUACCAAAGCCAUUCUAUAUUUCCUCUCCUCAACUGGACAGAAGAGAGAAAAUACAAGAAAAGGCUCAUGGAUCAAAUUAAGGGCAGGGAGAGAUCACUCUCCAAUUAUUGUCAUGGGCAAAACAGGCUUGACUUUGGGAAAUUAGUUUAAUUUAUUACCAAUCAAAUUUGAGUAUGAUAAUUAAAAAUAUAACCAAAUCAUAAAACACCUUCCCCUCACCUCUCCCUUCCUCCUGGGCUCAGCUUUACUCCUGGUUUUCAGUACCUCCUCUGCUCCAGCAGCACAAGGGGACAGGGAAUGGG